This 2026-nucleotide ribosomal RNA is filed under the name human gut metagenome. Its description in RNAcentral is "bacterial LSU rRNA". It matches the Rfam family "Bacterial large subunit ribosomal RNA", at positions 802 to 2814 of the family's 2925-position model. The record is from RNAcentral.
AUGUGUAUAAGAGACAGGGGUGAAAUUCCAAUCGAACGUGGAGAUAGCUGGUUCUCCCCGAAAUAGCUUUAGGGCUAGCCUCAGGGAAAAGAUUGCAGGCGGUAGAGCACUGAUCAGGAGAGGGACCUACCCGGUUACCAAACCCAGUCAAACUCCGAAUGGCUGCAAUCAUACCUGGGAGUCAGACUGCGACUAAUAAGGGCCGCAGUCAAAAGGGAAACAGCCCAGACCAUCAGCUAAGGUCCCCAAUGCCGUGCUAAGUGGAAAAGGAUGUGGCAUUUCAUAAACAACCAGGAUGUUGGCUCAGAAGCAGCCACCAUUUAAAGAGUGCGUAAUAGCUCACUGGUCGAGAGACGCUGCGCCGAAAAUGUCCGGGGCUCAAGCACGGAACCGAAGCUAUGGCAUGAUAGCAAUAUCAUGGGUAGGGGAGCGUUCUUAUAAGGAAGAAGCAUGACCGGAAGGACAUGUGGACAAAUAAGAAGUGAGAAUGCCGGUAUGAGUAUCGAAAAGAAAGGUGAGAAUCCUUUCCACCGAAAGCCCGAGGGUUCCUGAGCAACGAUCGUCGACUCAGGGUAAGUCGGGACCUAAGCCGAGGCGAGAAGCGUAGGCGAUGGACAACAGGUUGAAAUUCCUGUACCGGAUCAAGUCGAUUGAGCGAAGGAGCGACGCAGGAGGGCACAUGAUCGCGCGGCUGGAAGAGCGCGUCCAAGUGCGUAUGUUGCUGCAGAGGAAAACCCCUGCAGCUAAAAGCAGAGACAUGAUGGGGAGUUAAAGGAAACUUUGACGAACUCAUGGAUCCCACACUGCCAAGAAAAACUUCUAGCGAGACAAGAUCCGCCCGUACCGUAAACCGACACAGGUAGGCGGGGAGAGAAUCCUAAGGUGCGCGGGAAAACCCUCGUUAAGGAACUCGGCAAAUUGCAUCCGUAACCUAGGGAGAAGGAUGGCCCCCGGUCAGUGAAGAGCAGAAACGCUCAGAGCUAAAAGGGGCGGCAGAAAAGAGGCCCAAGCAACUGUUUACCAAAAACACAGGUGCCUGCGAAAGCGAAAGCUGAAGUAUAGGUGCUGACGCCUGCCCGGUGCCGGAAGGUUAAGGAGAGAAGUUAGCGAAAGCGAAGCAUCGAACUGAAGCCCCGGUGAACGGCGGCCGUAACUAUAACGGUCCUAAGGUAGCGAAAUUCCUUGUCGGGUAAGUUCCGACCCGCAUGAAAGGCGUAAUGAUUUGGGCACUGUCUCAACGAGGGGCCCGGUGAAAUUGAAAUACCUGUGAAGAUGCAGGUUACCCGCGACUGGACAGAAAGACCCCAUGGAGCUUCACUGCAGCUUGAGAUUGAAUCCCGGUGACAGAUGCACAGGAUAGGUGGGAGGCGCCGAAGCAUUGCCCUAGGGCGGUGCGGAGCCGAUGUUGGGAUACCACCCUUCUGUUGCUGAGAUUCUAACGCGAGGAGUAACGACCCUGCGGACCCUCUCAGGCAGGCGGUUUGACUGGGGCGGUCGCCUCCGAAAGAGUAACGGAGGCGCCCAAAGGUUCCCUCAGGCCGGACAGAAACCGGCCGAAGAGUGCAAAGGCAGAAGGGAGCUUGACUGCGAGACCAACAAGUCGAGCAGAGACGAAAGUCGGGCUUAGUGAUCCGGUGGUACUGAGUGGAAAGGCCAUCGCUCAACGGAUAAAAGCUACCCUGGGGAUAACAGGCUAAUCUCUCCCAAGAGUUCAUAUCGACGGGGAGGUUUGGCACCUCGAUGUCGGCUCAUCACAUCCUGGGGCUGGAGUAGGUCCCAAGGGUUGGGCUGUUCGCCCAUUAAAGUGGUACGCGAGCUGGGUUCAAAACGUCGUGAGACAGUUUGGUUCAUAUCCAUCGCGGGCGCAAGAAGUUUGAGAGGAGCUGCUCCUAGUACGAGAGGACCGGAGUGGACGGAUCAACGGUGUCCCAGUUGUCACGCCAGUGGCACGGCUGGAAAGCCGCAUCCGGGAAGGAUAAACGCUGAAAGCAUCUAAGCGCGAAGCCAACCUCAAGAUGAGACUUCU